AACCAUAGAAACCUGCGGAGUACCUGCGGAAGGAUCAUUACAAGAAUCGAGGCUGACGGUGCCUACUCCCUAGGCUCCGUCCAGUCCCGCUCUCUACCUUGCCUACUGCACCGUUUGUCGCUUCCUGGCGGCGUCCCGUCGCCAGGGCCUUUUGAAAGCCAAGUAUAAGCAUUGAAACUUCUGACAUACACUAAAUCGUACAACUUUUAGCAAUGGAUCU
RNAcentral lists this unclassified non-coding RNA (220 nucleotides) under soil metagenome. RNAcentral's name for it is "partial contains 5.8S ribosomal RNA, internal transcribed spacer 2, and large subunit ribosomal RNA". The record is from RNAcentral.